RNAcentral lists this transfer RNA (89 nucleotides) under Candidatus Peregrinibacteria bacterium CG10_big_fil_rev_8_21_14_0_10_55_24. RNAcentral describes it as "tRNA-Ser". It matches the Rfam family "tRNA". From Rfam's summary of the family: Transfer RNA (tRNA) molecules are approximately 80 nucleotides in length. Lineage: Bacteria; Candidatus Peregrinibacteriota. The record is from RNAcentral.
GGAGGGAUGGCUGAGUGGUCGAAAGCGCACGACUCGAAAUCGUGUAGACCCUCUGGGUCUCGAGGGUUCGAAUCCCUCUCCCUCCGCCA